UAUACAUGCAAGUCGAACGGAUCAGAGGACUUCGGUUCUCUGGUUAGUGGCGCACGGGUGCGUAACGCGUAUGCAACCUACCUUCCACUGGGGGAUAGCCCGGGGAAACCCGGAUUAAUACCGCAUGUGACCACUGAGAGGGCAUCCGAUCGUGGUAAAAGCUGAGGCGGUGGAAGAUGGGCAUGCGUGCCAUUAGCUAGUUGGCGGGGUAACGGCCCACCAAGGCUACGAUGGCUAGGGGUUCUGAGAGGAUGGUCCCCCACACUGGUACUGAGACACGGACCAGACUCCUACGGGAGGCAGCAGUAGGGAAUAUUGGGCAAUGGCCGAGAGGCUGACCCAGCCAUGCCGCGUGCAGGAAGAAGGCCUUCUGGGUUGUAAACUGCUUUUAUCUGGGAAGAAAACGCCCCUGCGGGGGUAACUGACGGUACCAGAUGAAUAAGCACCGGCUAACUCCGUGCCAGCAGCCGCGGUAAUACGGAGGGUGCAAGCGUUGUCCGGAUUUAUUGGGUUUAAAGGGUGCGUAGGCGGCCCGUUAAGUCAGCGGUGAAAUCCCACGGCUCAACCGUGGAACUGCCGUUGAUACUGGCGGGCUUGAGUUCGGUCGAGGCGGGCGGAACUGGUGGUGUAGCGGUGAAAUGCUUAGAUACCACCAAGAACCCCGAUUGCGUAGCAGCUCGCUGGGCCGAAACUGACGCUGAGGCACGAAAGCGUGGGGAGCGAACAGGAUUAGAUACCCUGGUAGUCACGCCGUAAACGAUGAUGACUCGAUGUUGGCGAUACACUGUCAGCGUCCAAGCGAAAGCGUUAAGUCAUCCACCUGGGGAGUACGCCCGCAAGGUGAAACUCAA
This 851-nucleotide ribosomal RNA is filed under the name Pontibacter sp. Al-Dhabi-10. RNAcentral describes it as "bacterial SSU rRNA". It matches the Rfam family "Bacterial small subunit ribosomal RNA", at positions 50 to 904 of the family's 1533-position model. Lineage: Bacteria; Pseudomonadati; Bacteroidota; Cytophagia; Cytophagales; Hymenobacteraceae. The record is from RNAcentral.